This 915-nucleotide long non-coding RNA is filed under the name Pan troglodytes (chimpanzee). RNAcentral describes it as "long non-coding RNA NONPTRT003989". The record is from RNAcentral. Lineage: Eukaryota; Metazoa; Chordata; Mammalia; Primates; Hominidae.
AGUACCCGACCAUGGGACCCACUUAAUGAUAUGAUACAGUUUGAAAAAGAUGGUGUUAUUCAGACCAAAGUGAAACAUCGUACUCCAAUGGUUAGCGUCCCCAAAAUGAAACAUAAGCCAACCAGGCAACAGAAGAAAGUAGCAAAAGGCUAUUCCUCCCCAGAACCUGACAUUCAAGACUCCUCUGGAAGUGAAGCUCAAUCAGUAAAACCAAGUACAAGAAGAAAGAAAGGAAUAGAACUGGGAGACAUUCAGAGUUCCAUCGAAUCUAUAAAACAAACACAGGAAGAAAUUAAAAGAAAUAUUAUGGCUCUUCGAAAUCAUUUAGUUUCAAGCACACCGGCCACGGAUUAUUUUCUGCAACAAAAAGACUACUUCAUCAUUUUCCUCCUGAUUUUGCUUCAAGUCAUAAUAAACUUCAUGUUCAAGUAAAAGUUCUCUACCAUUGAAUCAGUGAACUAGAAAGAUCUGAUUUGGCCUGGGACCAGUGUUCAAGUUGGUUUGGUCUUUAUUAAAAAUCACAAUAUUCCAAAAACAAAAAAACCUAGGAGAUAAAUGUAGAGGUAUUGACUUUUCGUAUCUUUUAUCUUCACACUGAAACAAGAGCUAUCCUAUUUGAUUAUUAAAGUGAGCUAUGUGUUAAGUGCCAGGACAUUUCUAGCUUUUGUGAGAAUGUGUCUACAUAUGAGUAUAAUAAACCCACAUGUAUACACAAUUGUCUCUUAUGUACUCCUACCUGACAGUAGUCUUUGUAUUCUAUAGUAUGUUCUGAGAUAUAAUGUUAACAUUGUUCAUAACAAAAAAUGCUAUCAAUCUUAUAAAUAUAUGUAAUCUAUUUUCUUCAUAAAACAGGCAGAAAAGUUUUAUCAGUAAGGAAUUACAGAUUGAGAAAUGAUGGAAUAAUAGACAUAAUUA